RNAcentral lists this ribosomal RNA (422 nucleotides) under uncultured bacterium. RNAcentral describes it as "bacterial SSU rRNA". It matches the Rfam family "Bacterial small subunit ribosomal RNA", at positions 359 to 773 of the family's 1533-position model. The record is from RNAcentral.
GAAUAUUGGACAAUGGGCGCAAGCCUGAUCCAGCAAUGCCGCGUGUGUGAAGAAGGCCUGAGGGUUGUAAAGCACUUUCGGUGGGGAAGAAGGUUCGUGGGCUAAUACCCUACGAAAUUGACGGUACCCAAAGAAGAAGCACCGGCUAACUCUGUGCCAGCAGCCGCGGUAAUACAGAGGGUACAAGCGUUAAUCGGAAUGACUGGGCGUAAAGGGCAGGUAGGUGGUUUUUUAAGUUGGAGGUGAAAUCCCCGGGCUCAACCUGGGCACUGCCUCCAAAACUGAAAGACUGGAGUACAGGAGAGGGAAGUGGAAUUUCCGGUGUAGCGGUGAAAUGCGUAGAUAUCGGAAGGAACACCAGUGGCGAAGGCGACUUUCUGGCCUGAUACUGACACUGAACUGCGAAAGCGUGGGUAGCGAAC